RNAcentral lists this ribosomal RNA (464 nucleotides) under uncultured bacterium. RNAcentral's name for it is "partial 16S ribosomal RNA". It matches the Rfam family "Bacterial small subunit ribosomal RNA", at positions 338 to 795 of the family's 1533-position model. The record is from RNAcentral.
CCUACGGGGGGCUGCAGUGGGGAAUAUUGCGCAAUGGGCGAAAGCCUGAACGAGCAAUGCCGCGUGAACGAGGAAGGUCUUCGGAUCGUAAAGUUCUGUUGAAGGGGAAAAAGAGCGGAGAGAGGAAAUGGUCUCCGAUUGAUAUUACCCUUCGAGGAAGUCACGGCUAACUACGUGCCAGCAGCCGCGGUAAUACGUAGGUGGCGAGCGUUAUCCGGAAUGAUUGGGCGUAAAGGGUGCGUAGGCGGCCUGCUAAGUCUGGAGUGAAAGGUACCGGCUCAACCGGUAUAGGCUCUGGAAACUGGCGGGCUAGAGAGCAGGAGAGGGCGGUGGAACUCCAUGUGUAGCGGUAAAAUGCGUAGAUAUAUGGAAGAACACCAGUGGCGAAGGCGGCCGCCUGGCCUGUUACUGACGCUGAGGCACGAAAGCGUGGGGAGCAAAUAGGAUUAGAUACCCCUGUAGUC